CCUACGGGAGGCAGCAGUAAGGAAUAUUGGUCAAUGGACGAAAGUCUGAACCAGCCAUGCCGCGUGAAGGAUGAAGGCCCUCUGGGUUGUAAACUUCUUUUAUCUGGGACGAAAAAAGCUCAUUCUUGAGCACUUGACGGUACCAGAGGAAUAAGCACCGGCUAACUCCGUGCCAGCAGCCGCGGUAAUACGGAGGGUGCAAGCGUUAUCCGGAUUCACUGGGUUUAAAGGGUGCGUAGGUGGGUCUGUAAGUCAGUGGUGAAAUCUCCGGGCUUAACUCGGAAACUGCCAUUGAUACUAUAGGUCUUGAAUCAUCUGGAGGUAAGCGGAAUAUGUCAUGUAGCGGUGAAAUGCUUAGAUAUGACAUAGAACACCAAUUGCGAAGGCAGCUUACUACGGGUGUAUUGACACUGAGGCACGAAAGCGUGGGGAUCAAACAGGAUUAGAUACCCUGGUAGUCCACGCCCUAAACGAUGGAUACUCGACAUCAGCGAUACACUGUUGGUGUCUGAGCGAAAGCAUUAAGUAUCCCACCUGGGAAGUACGACCGCAAGGUUGAAACUUAAAGGAAUUGACGGCUGAGACGAGCGAGACGACGACGAGGGAGGAGG
Molecule: ribosomal RNA, 611 nt
Filed under: uncultured bacterium
Lineage: Bacteria
Description: bacterial SSU rRNA
Rfam family: Bacterial small subunit ribosomal RNA
Source: RNAcentral